This is a long non-coding RNA of Lutra lutra (Eurasian river otter), 252 nucleotides long. RefSeq lists it as uncharacterized. Lineage: Eukaryota; Metazoa; Chordata; Mammalia; Carnivora; Mustelidae. The record is from RefSeq and is a predicted model, not a curated record. The transcript has 3 exons.
AGGCGGGCAGCCCUGUGCCAGCUCCCAGCCGGAUAGUAAAUAUUCAUGAUAAGACCGUGAGGUGAAAAACUGCAUUGCCGAUGAGUUUUAUUAUUCAGGGAUGAGUGAAUCUGAGGGUUGAUACUAUGUCUAUGGAAAAAAAAGGAAAAAAAAAAGUCUGUUCCUCCAACACACCACUGAUACUGAUCUUUUGGAUAGUUCCAGAAGAGAAGUGAUGGGAACCAGUCACAGGCAAAUUCAGGGAUGUAUCAG